AGACUAGGAGAUUGAUAGGUUGGGGGUGUAAGAGCAGUGAUGUUUUUAGCUGACCAAUACUAAUAAGUCGAAGUUUUAACCUA
Molecule: ribosomal RNA, 83 nt
Filed under: Fusobacteriaceae bacterium
Lineage: Bacteria; Fusobacteriati; Fusobacteriota; Fusobacteriia; Fusobacteriales; Fusobacteriaceae
Description: partial 23S ribosomal RNA
Rfam family: Bacterial large subunit ribosomal RNA
Source: RNAcentral